CGAAACCACAAAGCCUCCUGGGAAGGGAGAAGGCGAGGGAAGAGAGGCCUUGUUUCUGCGACAGUAAAGGGAGAGCUCCGAACGUGGCGGUCUUUUAUUUCUGGGUGCAACUCGGCCGGCCCCCCCUCUGCUGCACCUGUCAAAUAUUCAGGCAAUCUCGCCAUUAUAAGGAAGGAGGGGCUUGACUUCAUCUCUGCCUUCCCAGCGUUUCCAUGGGAACAGUAGCAAGCUGGAGGAGCAUAUUCUGAAUUUCACAGCCUGCCACAAAGCUGCUCUGCUUCACCUAGGCAGACGCAGCCUGGAUCCUCUGCAAGAAAGAGGGACAGGCUUUGUCCUUAAGCACCCUGAGAUGAAAUCACUUGCGCACAAACUGAGACUGAGAAAUGAGGACAGCUGGGCAGGGUUCAUUUGCUAAGCUGACUACAUGAGAUGUUUCCCUAGAAUCUCCAUAUUUUAAAUAAUUCACAUUUGUUUGUGUGCAUUUAAAAAAAAGGGGUUGUUGUU
Podarcis muralis (Common wall lizard) is the source of this 504-nucleotide non-coding RNA. The record is from RefSeq and is a predicted model, not a curated record. NCBI's taxonomy places the organism in Eukaryota, Metazoa, Chordata, Lepidosauria, Squamata, Lacertidae.